RNAcentral lists this transfer RNA (73 nucleotides) under uncultured Methanobrevibacter sp. It matches the Rfam family "tRNA". Rfam says of the family: Transfer RNA (tRNA) molecules are approximately 80 nucleotides in length. Their secondary structure includes four short double-helical elements and three loops (D, anti-codon, and T loops). Lineage: Archaea; Methanobacteriati; Methanobacteriota; Methanobacteria; Methanobacteriales; Methanobacteriaceae. The record is from RNAcentral.
GGUAGGUAGUAUAGUAAGGCUAAUAUGUUGGGCUUUUAACCCGAAAACCGGGGGUUCAAAUCCCUCCCUUCCC